CAGUAGCCGCGGGAAUACGUAGGGUGCGAGCGUUAAUCGGAAUUACUGGGCGUAAAGCGUGCGCAGGCGGUGAUGUAAGACAGUUGUGAAAUCCCCGGGCUCAACCUGGGAACUGCAUCUGUGACUGCAUCGCUGGAGUGCGGCAGAGGGGGAUGGAAUUCCGCGUGUAGCAGUGAAAUGCGUAGAUAUGCGGAGGAACACCGAUGGCGAAGGCAAUCCCCUGGGCCUGCACUGACGCUCAUGCACGAAAGCGUGGGGAGCAAACAGGAUUAGAUACCCGCGUAGUCCCUGUCUCUUAUAC
This 301-nucleotide ribosomal RNA is filed under the name uncultured bacterium. RNAcentral's name for it is "partial 16S ribosomal RNA". It matches the Rfam family "Bacterial small subunit ribosomal RNA", at positions 509 to 807 of the family's 1533-position model. The record is from RNAcentral.